GACGAACGCUGGCGGCGUGCUUAACACAUGCAAGUCGAACGGAAAGGCCUUUUCGGAGGUACUCGAGUGGCGAACGGGUGCGUAACACGUGGGUGAUCUGCCCUGCACUCUGGGAUAAGCCUGGGAAACUGGGUCUAAUACCGGAUAGGACCGCACUUUAGUGUGUGUGGUGGAAAGUUUUUUCGGUGUAGGAUGAGCCCGCGGCCUAUCAGCUUGUUGGUGGGGUAAUGGCCUACCAAGGCGGCCACGGGUAGCCGGACUGAGAGGUUGGUCGGCCACAUUGGGACUGAGAUACGGCCCAGACUCCUACGGGAGGCAGCAGUGGGGAAUAUUGCACAAUGGGCGCAAGCCUGAUGCAGCGACGCCGCGUGGGGGAUGACGGCCUUCGGGUUGUAAACUCCUUUCGCCAGGGACGAAGCGUUUUGUGACGGUACCUGGAGAAGAAGCACCGGCUAACUACGUG
RNAcentral lists this ribosomal RNA (463 nucleotides) under uncultured bacterium. Its description in RNAcentral is "partial 16S ribosomal RNA". It matches the Rfam family "Bacterial small subunit ribosomal RNA", at positions 28 to 507 of the family's 1533-position model. The record is from RNAcentral.